GACACAAUGACGUAUUUUCCGGUGAUAGCCAACACGGGGCAGACGGUUCUACUCUGAUCGUGCCAGCAGGGGACCCUCGAAGCACAUAUUUACGGUAAAUAACAGAACCAAAACCAGAACCAAACUCCAGCAAACAGCAUUAGUCCUCAGGGCAGGUUGGCAUUCAGGAAGAUCAGAUGCCUCAGCUUGGAUGGGCUGAUACGAUUUCGCCUCUCCGUAGCAGCAGAAGAUCAGGGUGAGCAUGAGGAUGAAGAGGCCGAUGCCCAGGAUGAUGAUAUAGACGUUGAGCGGCAGGUGGAAGAGCUCUUCAGAAGUCAUCUUGCAGUAGGGGUCGGAGUUCUGCAAUCCAAGGU
This is a long non-coding RNA of Cottoperca gobio, 353 nucleotides long. RefSeq lists it as uncharacterized. The record is from RefSeq and is a predicted model, not a curated record. Lineage: Eukaryota; Metazoa; Chordata; Actinopteri; Perciformes; Bovichtidae. The transcript has 3 exons.